CCUACGGGAGGCAGCAGUGGGGAAUAUUGCACAAUGGGCGCAAGCCUGAUGCAGCGACGCCGCGUGAGGGAUGACGGCCUUCGGGUUGUAAACCUCUGUUAGCAGGGAAGAAGAGAAAUUGACGGUACCUGCAGAGAAAGCGCCGGCUAACUACGUGCCAGCAGCCGCGGUAAUACGUAGGGCGCGAGCGUUGUCCGGAAUUAUUGGGCGUAAAGAGCUUGUAGGCGGUUUGUCGCGUCUGCUGUGAAAGGCCGGGGCUUAACCCCGUGUAUUGCAGUGGGUACGGGCAGACUAGAGUGCAGUAGGGGAGACUGGAAUUCCUGGUGUAGCGGUGGAAUGCGCAGAUAUCAGGAGGAACACCGAUGGCGAAGGCAGGUCUCUGGGCUGUAACUGACGCUGAGAAGCGAAAGCAUGGGGAGCGAACAGGAUUAGAUACCCCAGUAGUC
RNAcentral lists this ribosomal RNA (446 nucleotides) under uncultured Rothia sp. RNAcentral's name for it is "bacterial SSU rRNA". It matches the Rfam family "Bacterial small subunit ribosomal RNA", at positions 338 to 795 of the family's 1533-position model. The record is from RNAcentral. Lineage: Bacteria; Bacillati; Actinomycetota; Actinomycetes; Micrococcales; Micrococcaceae.